CAUUCUUGGGUCGGACUUCAAAC
RNAcentral lists this microRNA (23 nucleotides) under Rosa chinensis. Its description in RNAcentral is "sRNA RchiOBHm_Chr7g0215385". Lineage: Eukaryota; Viridiplantae; Streptophyta; Magnoliopsida; Rosales; Rosaceae. The record is from RNAcentral.